GGCGAUCAGAUACCGCCCUAGUUCUGACCGUAAACGAUGCCAACUAUCAAUCAGACAGUAGCUUUUGUUACUGUCUGGAGGAUCGACGGAAACGAAAGUUUUUCGGUUCCGGGGGAAGUAUGGUUGCAAAGCUGAAACUUAAAGGAAUUGACGGAAGGGCACCACCAGGAGUGGAGCUUGCGGCUUAAUUUGACUCAACACGGGAAAUCUCACCCGGCCAGUACAUCAGAAGGAUUGACAGAUUGAAAGCUCUUUCAUGAUUUGAUGAAUGGUGGUGCAUGGCCGUUCUUAGUUCGUGGUGUGAACUGUCUGCUUAAUUGCGAUAACGAGCGAGACUCCGACUGUUAAAUAGUGAAGGCUUUUUCUUGAGCCCAUCGCUUCUUAACGGGAUUCGCGACUUCAAGUCGCAAGAAAUGGAGCAAUAACAGGUCUGUGAUGCCCUUAGAUGUCCGGGGCAGCACGCGUGCUACAAUGAUGGUAACAGCGUGAUUGUCCUCGCCCGACAGGGCUUGGCAAACAGUUGAGAUAUUAUUAUGGCUGGAAUUGAGUGUUGAAAUUUUCUCUCAUGAACGAGGAAUUCCAAGUAAAUGCGAGUCAUCAACUUGCAUUGAUUACGUCCCUGCCCUUUGUA
RNAcentral lists this ribosomal RNA (631 nucleotides) under cf. Aprutides sp. HC 07Bout-10 B. RNAcentral's name for it is "SSU rRNA". It matches the Rfam family "Eukaryotic small subunit ribosomal RNA", at positions 1003 to 1664 of the family's 1831-position model. The record is from RNAcentral. Lineage: Eukaryota; Metazoa; Nematoda; Chromadorea; Rhabditida.